AGAGUUUGAUCCUGGCUCAGGACGAACGCUGGCGGCGUGCCUAAUACAUGCAAGUCGAGCGGACAGAAGGGAGCUUGCUCCCGGAUGUUAGCGGCGGACGGGUGAGUAACACGUGGGUAACCUGCCUGUAAGACUGGGAUAACUCCGGGAAACCGGAGCUAAUACCGGAUAGUUCCUUGAACCGCAUGGUUCAAGGAUGAAAGACGGUUUCGGCUGUCACUUACAGAUGGACCCGCGGCGCAUUAGCUAGUUGGUGAGGUAACGGCUCACCAAGGCGACGAUGCGUAGCCGACCUGAGAGGGUGAUCGGCCACACUGGGACUGAGACACGGCCCAGACUCCUACGGGAGGCAGCAGUAGGGAAUCUUCCGCAAUGGACGAAAGUCUGACGGAGCAACGCCGCGUGAGUGAUGAAGGUUUUCGGAUCGUAAAGCUCUGUUGUUAGGGAAGAACAAGUGCAAGAGUAACUGCUUGCACCUUGACGGUACCUAACCAGAAAGCCACGGCUAACUACGUGCCAGCAGCCGCGGUAAUACGUAGGUGGCAAGCGUUGUCCGGAAUUAUUGGGCGUAAAGGGCUCGCAGGCGGUUUCUUAAGUCUGAUGUGAAAGCCCCCGGCUCAACCGGGGAGGGUCAUUGGAAACUGGGAAACUUGAGUGCAGAAGAGGAGAGUGGAAUUCCACGUGUAGCGGUGAAAUGCGUAGAGAUGUGGAGGAACACCAGUGGCGAAGGCGACUCUCUGGUCUGU
This 746-nucleotide ribosomal RNA is filed under the name Bacillus sp. SW3.1. RNAcentral describes it as "bacterial SSU rRNA". It matches the Rfam family "Bacterial small subunit ribosomal RNA", at positions 8 to 737 of the family's 1533-position model. The record is from RNAcentral. Lineage: Bacteria; Bacillati; Bacillota; Bacilli; Caryophanales; Bacillaceae.